AGUGAACGCUGGCGGUAGGCCUAACACAUGCAAGUCGAACGGCAGCACAGUAAGAGCUUGCUCUUACGGGUGGCGAGUGGCGGACGGGUGAGGAAUACAUCGGAAUCUACUUUUUCGUGGGGGAUAACGUAGGGAAACUUACGCUAAUACCGCAUACGACCUACGGGUGAAAGCAGGGGAUCUUCGGACCUUGCGCGAUUGAAUGAGCCGAUGUCGGAUUAGCUAGUUGGCGGGGUAAAGGCCCCCAAGGCGACGAUCCGUAGCUGGUCUGAGAGGAUGAUCAGCCACACUGGAACUGAGACACGGUCCAGACUCCUACGGGAGGCAGCAGUGGGGAAUAUUGGACAAUGGGCGCAAGCCUGAUCCAGCCAUACCGCGUGGGUGAAGAAGGCCUUCGGGUUGUAAAGCCCUUUUGUUGGGAAAGAAAAGCAGCAGGUUAAUACCCCGCUGUUCUGACGGUACCCAAAGAAUAAGCACCGGCUAACUUCGUG
This 491-nucleotide ribosomal RNA is filed under the name uncultured bacterium. RNAcentral describes it as "partial 16S ribosomal RNA". It matches the Rfam family "Bacterial small subunit ribosomal RNA", at positions 29 to 507 of the family's 1533-position model. The record is from RNAcentral.